UGUCUAAUUAAAACAUAGCAUUGCGAUGGCCAGAAAGUGAUGUUGACGCAAUACGAUUCCUGUCCAGUGCUCCGAAUGUCGAAGUGAAGAAAUUCAAACAAGCGCGGGUAACCGGUACGUGAGCCUCAUCCCUUAUUUUCUGUUUUUAUCAUUUUAUU
Molecule: non-coding RNA, 158 nt
Filed under: Exophiala oligosperma
Lineage: Eukaryota; Fungi; Ascomycota; Eurotiomycetes; Chaetothyriales; Herpotrichiellaceae
Description: Eukaryotic large subunit ribosomal RNA
Rfam family: Eukaryotic large subunit ribosomal RNA
Source: Rfam by way of RNAcentral